UAACUGAUUAGAAGGUUGGAACUUUCAGUCCCACUACCAACCUCCAGGGAAGGGACGGAACUGAAGACUGAGUUCAAUCACCAACGGCCGAUGAUUUAAUCAACCAUGCUUACGUAGUGAAGCCUCCAUAAAAAUCAACAAGGGACAGGUUCAGGGAGCUUCCAGGUUGGUGAACAUGUGGAGAUCUGAGGAGCCUGGUACAGCCGAGGACAGAUGGGGUCACCCUGUCCUUUUUCCACACUCUGUGCUGGGCGUCUGGCACCUGGCUGUUCCUGAGUUACGUCCGUUUAUAAUAAACUUGUGAUCUACCUCAGGAUCCAGCCUUUUUCUUCUGAGAACAUAAAGUGCCAUAAACUAAAGUGCCCUACGUGCUGGGUAGCCAUCCACAGCGAUGCACCGCCACCCCACUAUGACUUGUAUUUGCCAUGAUUGAUCUCAAGUGAAUGAAUCAAUACUUUCUAGAAACAAAUCUCCAAAUUAGUUUGGCAAUAAAUUAUUAUGAAAUUAAAUGGGAAUCUAUGGCCCAAAUAUC
Molecule: long non-coding RNA, 532 nt
Organism: Suricata suricatta (meerkat)
Lineage: Eukaryota; Metazoa; Chordata; Mammalia; Carnivora; Herpestidae
Exons: 2
Source: RefSeq, a predicted model, not a curated record